Molecule: small nucleolar RNA, 179 nt
Filed under: Chrysochromulina tobinii
Lineage: Eukaryota; Haptophyta; Prymnesiales; Chrysochromulinaceae
Description: Chrysochromulina sp. CCMP291 Small nucleolar RNA U3
Rfam family: Small nucleolar RNA U3
About the family: Small nucleolar RNAs (snoRNAs) are involved in the processing and modification of rRNA in the nucleolus. There are two main classes of snoRNAs: the box C/D class, and the box H/ACA class. U3 snoRNA is a member of the box C/D class.
Source: Rfam by way of RNAcentral
AAGAUCAUACUUGAUAGGAUCAUUUCUAUAGUAUGUUCUCCACUCGCACUUUGUAAAGAAGUCCGAUCUACCACCGUCGAGGACGACUCCUAUGCCGCCCUGUCACGAUCGACGCAGGCGCAGCCUCACGGCUCGCGUUGGAUGAGCGUUUCAAGUGGCGGGGGGUACGUCAGAGACGG